UUCCCCCUGCUGCACCCGUAAAUACCGACCAUUAACAUUGAAAUUCAUUCUUCCCCCUUUCUAAUAUCACCACCAUCGAAGUAUCUUUCUAUCUGUAGAACCCCAAAAGCAAAACCUAAUCUGGUCCGAUCUCCUUGGUGUCUGUAAGAAGAGGAAAUCAAGAAAUUAUCAUGGGUUUUCAUUAUUGAGAGUUAAGAAGAGGAAUUUGAAAUUGAUUCUCAAAUUACAGCGAAGGAAUUAGAGGAUUAGGUUUCGUUUUACGUCUAAGAUUAAGAAGCUAAUUGAGAAAACUAGGGUUUUGUUUGUGCUACAAAUCGAAGAAUUAAACGGAAUCAAUAAAUGGGUUUGUUUUAAUUAGGUUUAGAAUUGGUUUAUUAAUGGAUUAGAGUUUUAUGGAUUAGGAUUUCUAACAGAUUGGGGAUUUAGGGUUCAUGGAUUUGAAUUACAGAUGAAAAAGAUGAAACUGAUGGUGAGAAAUUAUAAGAAGAAAAUUGAGUUUGUGUCUGAGGUGGUGGUGGUUUAAUGAGCUACAUAACUAUAAAGAUUGUAAUGGUGAUGGAAUUGAAAUAAUAGUUCGGUUGAUGUGGUCUUGAAUGAGCUACAACAGUUGAUCUUAGCUUGGCUUAGAUUGUAAUGAUUUGAAUGGUGAUGGAUGAGUAUUGGUUGUGCUGAGAUGCUUUUGAUGAUGAUGCUAUGGUCAGUCAUAAUGGUUGUGACUGAAAGAUAUUGAAAUGAAUAAUGUUGCUGCUAUGAAGAUGGUGGUUUAAAUGUCUAUGUGGCUGAAUGAUAGUGAUUUGAAGGAAUGACGCUAAUUUGAAGAGAUUUGAAAUGUUCAUAAAUUUUAGGUCAAGAUCUUGAAACAUGAGUGGCCAGCUAGGUGGUGAAAUUUUAUUCCGGAUCUUGUUUCAGUAGCGAAGACAAGUGAAACAAUAUGUUAGAAUUUCGUGGCUGUAUUAAAAUGAGGUUCAACUUAUUCACGAGCUAUGCCUAUAUGUGCUAUCUGCAUCUCAAAGAACUGAGCUAUAAGAGCAACACUGGCUACGUUGCACUCUUUCCUUUCAUGGUUUCCUCUGGGCUACAUAUUUGAAUCCCCACUGGGUGUGGAAACAUAUAGGAAUCUUACUCUCCAAUGUUUGUCUGAGGUAGCUGCCCUUCAGUUUAGAGACUUCUAUAACAUGAAGUAUGUGAAAAUGUACACUGUCUUCAUUUCACAAUUACAGCCUUGUAGGGAUGGAGUUUGGGUCUAAUAUAUUGAGUUUAAUGCUGGAGAUGAGGUGGCGGUGUUCAGUUCAUGUAGUAAACAUGCUUAUGUAUCCUUCUAUGUAUAAUGUUUGGUGCAAAUUAAGAGAUUUCCCAGCAACUCAAGACUGAAAGCAUCACUAGUCAGCUCUGCCUUCUUCACUGGGCUUAGUAGAAGCACAUGGUCUGCAGUUUGAAGCUAGGUCCAGGACCCAGCUGCGGCUGGAGCAUCAAUAUAAGCCUUUCUUUCAAAUCUUAGAAAAGAUUUAUCGCUUCUUCCUCUUACCCAAAGAUCCCUCCAUUGUAGAGACACUACUUUCAAAACACAUAAGGUCUUAUUUUCGUAGUUAAAAGCAGUGACAGAGACCGUGUUAUUGAGGCAAGGGAUGAACUGCAGACGAAGUUUAGUGAGUUAGUGUUUUUAUCACCUUGCUUGGUGCUGACUUCAUGAGAAUGAAAUCUUUCGGCGAAGUUGAAGAGUUUGCGGAGACUCUGGUUAGUAAAUUAGAUAGAAGUUGGAAAAAGGGCAUCUGCAAGACUUACCGCAUGCAAAAUUCUCAAACUGUAGAAGAUAAUGGAGAAGAACAUGAAGAACAUGGAACCAAGAAGAAGAGGUUGUUGAUGUCGAUGUUGAUUCUACAGAUGGCGCUAUUGUUACAAUUCUUUUUGACAAUGGCUACUCUCAUGGUGUACAUUGGUUUUGCAGGUCACAGAUAUGAGUAGUAAGUGCGACUAUUUACAAGGCUGGUUAUGAAGCAACAAGAAGCUAUACUUGUUUGAGCAUGUAGGUAAUGAAUGCUGAGCUUGUCUCCAGUCUUGUGCCUUUAAGAUUGUACCUACUACUACUAUUACACUUCACAUUACAACUGCAACUGCAGAAUUUCUAUGUUAUGAAAACUUAGGAAAUGUUUACAUAAUUGUCAUUUUUUUGAUGCUACGCACAGAUUUUGUAUGUCCUUGGCACUUAAGAAAUAUUUCUAGCUACAGAUUGGAACUUAAGAAAUUUAUAUGUAUUGCCUAAGUAAUUCUUUUCA
Molecule: long non-coding RNA, 2273 nt
Organism: Papaver somniferum (opium poppy)
Lineage: Eukaryota; Viridiplantae; Streptophyta; Magnoliopsida; Ranunculales; Papaveraceae
Exons: 12
Source: RefSeq, a predicted model, not a curated record